Long non-coding RNA from Terrapene triunguis (Three-toed box turtle), 386 nucleotides. RefSeq lists it as uncharacterized. The transcript is spliced from 4 exons. Lineage: Eukaryota; Metazoa; Chordata; Testudines; Emydidae. The record is from RefSeq and is a predicted model, not a curated record.
UGGUGAAGCGGGUGCCGGAGCAUGUGCAGGUGGACGACCCAGCAGCACAGAGGAGACUGGCGAAGAAGCUGGAACGGCAGCAGGUUCCUCUGAGGCAAGACUAUGGCGCCAAAGUCAACCUCUUCUCCCACUUGCACCAGUACAGCCGGAAGGUGCCGCUGACCCAGCAGAUGAGCAUCCCCGCCACGGCGAUCCAUCCGGCUGUGGUGCGGCUCGGCCUGCAGUACUCCCAGGGGCUGCUGAACGGCUCCAACGCACGCUGCCUCGCCCUGCUGCAAGUCUUCAGACAGGUGAUCCGGGAUUACUCAACGCCGCCCAACGAGGAGCUCUCGCGAGACCUGGUGGCCAGGCUGAAGCCCUAUAUCAGGUGAGGCCGAGAGAGACGG